RNAcentral lists this ribosomal RNA (382 nucleotides) under uncultured prokaryote. RNAcentral describes it as "partial 16S ribosomal RNA". It matches the Rfam family "Bacterial small subunit ribosomal RNA", at positions 1101 to 1482 of the family's 1533-position model. The record is from RNAcentral.
ACCCUUGCCUUUAGUUGCCAGCAUUAAGUUNGGCACUCUAGAGGGACUGCCAGGGAUAACCUGGAGGAAGGUGGGGANGACGUCAAAUCAUCAUGCCCCUUAUGCUUAGGGCUACACACNUGCUACAAUGGGUGGUACAGAGGGCAGCCAAACCGUGAGGUCGAGCUAAUNCCUUAAAGCCAUUCUCGGUUCGGAUUGUAGGCUGAAACUNNCNUACAUGAAGCUGGAGUUACUAGUAAUCGCAGAUCAGAAUGNUGCGGUGAAUGCGUUCCCGGGUNUUGUACACACCGCCCGUCACACCACGGAAGUNGGGGGCGCCCGAAGCCACUUAGCUAACCCUUUUNGGAAGCGAGUGUCGAAGGUGAAAUCAAUAACUGGGGUG